Molecule: ribosomal RNA, 440 nt
Filed under: uncultured bacterium
Lineage: Bacteria
Description: bacterial SSU rRNA
Rfam family: Bacterial small subunit ribosomal RNA
Source: RNAcentral
GACGAACGCUGGCGGCGUGCUUAACACAUGCAAGUCGAGCGAUGAAGCACCUUCGGGUGUGAAUUAGCGGCGAACGGGUGAGGAACACGUGAGAAAUCUGCCUUCAACACUGGGAUAACUCCGGGAAACCGGGGCUAAUACCGGAUAUGAAACCUGCGGGCAUCCGCGGGUUUGGAAAGUUUUUCGGUUGAAGAUGAUCUCGCGGCCUAUCAGCUUGUUGGUGAGGUAAUGGCUCACCAAGGCGACGACGGGUAGCCGGCCUGAGAGGGCGACCGGCCACACUGGGACUGAGACACGGCCCAGACUCCUACGGGAGGCAGCAGUGGGGAAUAUUGGGCAAUGGAGGCAACCCUGAUCCAGCAAUGCCGCGUGAGUGAAGAAGGCCUCGGGUUGUAAGCUCUUUGUCUAGGAGAAACAGCAGCUCUAACACAGUCUGCGAA